RNAcentral lists this ribosomal RNA (460 nucleotides) under uncultured bacterium. RNAcentral describes it as "partial 16S ribosomal RNA". It matches the Rfam family "Bacterial small subunit ribosomal RNA", at positions 338 to 795 of the family's 1533-position model. The record is from RNAcentral.
CCUACGGGCGGCAGCAGUGAGGAAUAUUGGUCAAUGGUCGUGAGCCUGAACCAGCCAAGUAGCGUGCGGGAAGACGGCCCUAUGGAUUGUAAACCUCUUUUGUCGGGGGACAAAAUACGCCACGCGUGGCGUUCCGAGGGUACCCGAAGAAUAAGCACCGGCUAAUUCCGUGCCAGCAGCCGCGGUAAUACGGAAGGUGCGGGCGUUAUCCGGAUUUAUUGGGUUUAAAGGGUGCGGAGGCGGAAAGUUAAGCGUGCCGUGAAAUUGCGGGGCUCAACCAUGGCACGGCGGCGGGAACUGGCUUUCUUGAGUGAGCGGGACGUAUGCGGAAUGCGUGGUGUAGCGGUGAAAUGCUUAGAUAUCACGAAGAACUCCGAUUGCGAAGGCAGCAUACCGGCGCUCAACUGACGCUGAAGCACGAAGGUGUGGGUAUCGAACAGGAUUAGAUACCCGUGUAGUC